This 614-nucleotide long non-coding RNA is filed under the name Dromaius novaehollandiae (emu). RNAcentral's name for it is "lncRNA (ENSDNVG00000010973.1)". Lineage: Eukaryota; Metazoa; Chordata; Aves; Casuariiformes; Dromaiidae. The record is from RNAcentral.
AAAUGUAUUGAAGGCUGGCAAAGGAUGAAUCUAGCUGUGCGUUAUUUUCCUUGCUCCAUCAAUAGAAGGAAGAAGUGAAAAAUCUCCAGUAAAAGCUCUGAGCCCAAGACUGAGGCAUCCUGGCAGGACAGAAAAAGAAAGCGCCAACACUUUACUUCUGAAUUGUGUACGUCAGUGACCAUAGAGAGUGUUUCAGCCUUCAAGGAUAUAAAUCCAGCACUUGCGGUGUUUUAAAGGGAACAGCCACCUAUUCACAUUUUGUUUCCAAGAAGAAAACCAAGAGUGCAAACCUGGAACAGAGCUGUAAUGGAUUUGGAUCAUCAAGGAGCAGGACUGCAGAGAAAUUCAUGUGGACUCCAUUUUCUCCCUACACAUACCCAAGCUUUGGCCAAAAGCAGUAUUAUUUCUGACAACGUGCCCAGAGAUGAGAGAACACUCUUGGGAAUCCACAGCUCUCAUCCACAGAUUGUCUCAUGGGAAAUUUUCCUAACUGCAGAUUCACAUGACCAGAGAACUGCUGGAGAGGGACCUGAAUGCCAGACAUGGAAGACGAUGCAGUCUAUAACUCUCCAUCUGAUAAUAACCAGAUUAUAGCUCCACAAUUCCAACAAAGA